RNAcentral lists this ribosomal RNA (446 nucleotides) under uncultured bacterium. RNAcentral describes it as "partial 16S ribosomal RNA". It matches the Rfam family "Bacterial small subunit ribosomal RNA", at positions 338 to 795 of the family's 1533-position model. The record is from RNAcentral.
CCUACGGGUGGCAGCAGUCGAGAAUCAUUCACAAUGGGGGAAACCCUGAUGGUGCGACGCCGCGUGGGGGAAUGAAGGUCUUCGGAUUGUAAACCCUUGUCAUGUGGGAGCAAAUUAAAAAGCUAGUACAACAAGAGGAAGAGACGGCUAACUCUGUGCCCGCAGCCGCGGUAAUACAGAGGUCUCAAGCGUUGUUCGGAAUCACUGGACGUAAAGCGUGCGUAGGCUGUUUCGUAAGUCGGGUGUGAAAGGCGCGGGCACAACCCGCGGACGGCACAUGAUACUGCGAGACUGGAGUGAGGGAGGGGGAAGCGGAAUUCUCGGUGUAGCAGUGAAAUGCGUAGAUAUCGAGAGGAACACUCGUGGCGAAGGCGGGUUCCUGGACAUUAACUGACGCUGAGGCACGAAGGCCAGGGGAGCGAAAGGGAUUAGAUACCCCUGUAGUC